UCCCUGGUGGCUCAGAGGUUAAAGCAUCUGCCUAGAAUGCGGGACACCCAGGUUCUAGCCCUGGGUCGGGAA
Bos taurus (domestic cattle) is the source of this 72-nucleotide non-coding RNA. The record is from Rfam. Lineage: Eukaryota; Metazoa; Chordata; Mammalia; Artiodactyla; Bovidae.